GCCCUGAACCAUGGAUCAGUCUCCAUCAACGCCAUCAACGGUGACACGUUAAGCGUGGUAAGAAUUCAAUGCUGGCGAAAUUGUAAUAGAAUGCGUUGGCAGGUGUAAUGUUACAAAUGUAGCAGAUGUAACGAAGACUUCCACAUUGAUAAAAUUGCAAUGGACCCAGAAGAAAGAAAACUCGAAGCACCCCCGAAGAAACGGUACCGAAAAGAUGAAUCUAGCUCUGAAUCUGAGGAUGAUUAUGUGCCAUAUGUACCAGUCAAGGAGAGGAAGCAGCAGUUGAUGAAACUUGGACGACUGAGUCAGCUGAAAGAUGAGUGUGGUCAACGUGGGAAGUCCUCAAGUGAGAAUGAGCAUGACAAUGAGGAUGACGAGGAUGGACAGGUGUGGGGGCGCAAAUCCAACAUCAGUUUGCUGGAUCAGCACACCGAGCUCAAGAAACUGGCGGAAGCCAAGAAGGAGAGUGCUAUGGAGCGCCAGUUGAAGGAGGAAGAGAAGAUCUUGGAGAGUGUCGCCGAGAAGAAGGCAUUGAUGGGAGUGGCAGAACUGGCAAAGGGCAUUCAGUACGAGGAUCCUAUCAAAACAAGUUGGAAGCCACCACAUUACAUCUUGGCAAUGUCUGAAACACGUCACAACCGUGUGCGCAAGAAACUAUGCAUAUUAGUCGAGGGGGAGGAUGUGCCCCCUCCCAUAAAAUCAUUUGCUCAGAUGAAGUUUCCACGUGGCAUUCUGACUGGUCUGGAGCGGAAGGGCAUUGUGCGGCCAACACCUAUACAGGUUCAGGGCAUUCCAACUGUGCUGUCAGGGCGUGACAUGAUUGGAAUAGCGUUCACUGGAAGUGGUAAGACUUUGGUGUUUGUCCUGCCACUCAUCAUGUUCUGUCUGGAACAGGAGACACGGUUGCCGUUCAUCAAGAAUGAGGGUCCAUAUGGUCUUGUCAUCUGUCCAUCUCGUGAGCUUGCGAAGCAGACCCAUGACAUCAUCACACAUUACUGCACAGGUCUGCCUCAGGAAAUACGUUGCUGCCUUGCCAUUGGUGGAAUACCUGUUUCAGAAUCGAUGGAAAUUAUAAGUAGGGGUGUCCACAUUAUGGUUGCCACACCAGGCCGGCUGAUGGACAUGUUGGACAAGAAGAUGGUACGACUUGAUGUCUGCAGGUACCUGUGCAUGGAUGAGGCAGACAGGAUGAUAGACAUGGGCUUCGAGGAAGAUGUCAGAACGAUAUUCUCAUUUUUCAAGGGUCAACGUCAGACACUUCUGUUCUCAGCAACAAUGCCUAAGAAAAUCCAGAACUUCGCAAGAUCUGCGCUUGUGAAACCAGUCACAAUAAAUGUUGGUCGUGCUGGUGCUGCUUCCAUGAACGUCAUACAGGAAGUGGAAUAUGUGAAACAAGAAGCAAAGAUUGUGUACCUUUUGGAGUGCCUGCAGAAAACCCCACCACCAGUUCUCAUCUUUGCAGAGAAAAAGCAAGACGUGGACGCAAUACAUGAAUACCUGCUAUUGAAGGGUGUUGAAGCUGUGGCUAUUCAUGGGGGCAAAGAUCAAGAGGAGCGGUCACGGUCAGUUGAGGCUUUCCGGAAGGGACAGAAGGAUGUGCUGGUGGCAACAGAUGUCGCCUCUAAGGGUCUUGAUUUUGCUGAUGUACAGCAUGUUAUCAAUUAUGACAUGCCUGAUGAUGUAGAGAAUUAUGUGCACCGAAUUGGACGAACUGGACGCUCAGGCAAGACUGGAAUUGCUACAACUUUCAUCAAUAAGGCGAAUGAUGAGUCGGUGCUGUUGGAUUUGAAACAUCUGCUGAUGGAAGCGAGACAGAAGGUGCCGCCGUUCCUCGCUGCUCUGCAGUCAGAGAAUGAGAAAUACUUGGAUCUUGGAGAUGAAAGAGGUUGCAGUUAUUGUGGUGGUUUGGGUCAUCGCAUUACGGACUGCCCAAAACUGGAGGCCAUACAGAAUAAGCAAGCUUCUAACAUUGGACGACGUGACUAUCUUGCCAGCAAUGCUGCUGAUUACUAACAAAUUGAUCUUGAUAUUAUCUGCUGUCUAGAACCAGCUACCAUGGCAAGUUUGAUGUUGUCUUCAGUCCGUCAAGGCCAGUGCUAGAGUGCUGGCUUGAAAUUGGAUAGAACUGUUUACUCAGCUGCAAACCUUUCCAAAUCACCAUAGACAGUGAUUGUUACUUUAUGUCAUCAGGUGAUUGUGUAGGAUAUAUGAAUUUAAUUAAAUGCAAGAAGUUCUGGGAAGAACUAAUUGCCCACUUUCCUUUUGGACAACCUGGGCUGUGUAGAAAAUGGAUGCGUCCAACAUUUCUUUUACUGUUGGGGGUGUGUAUUCAUUGGUAUGGGAAUGUGUUUACUGAGCUGAUGCCUAGCAACAACACUGGGGGGGGGAUUACACAGACAGACAGCAAGGUGAUCUCAUAAGCCUAACUAACAAACUGUGGAGCUGAGCUCUUCUCAAGGAGCCACCGCUUAUGCAGCUAUUUAAAAACUUCCCAACAUUUCAUGGAAGAACUCAAAGGUUCAUUACCUCACAAGAGCUCUUCACUGGCCCCUAUCCUGAGCUAGAUCAAUCCAGUUCAUCCCAUCUCUCUGAGAUCCAUUUUAAUAUUAUCCACAUACCUACAUCUUCGAUGUGGAUGAAUAAUUAAAUCAGUGAAACUGGGAGAGGAACUUGCUUCAGCCUCAUUUUGUAUGCAGUGAGAAGCUCCUGAAAGUGAGUCUGGAGUCAGCUGCUACACCAGCACGGUGAUACCAGGGCCUGAUGAACCAGUACGCAUGCUGGCACAAUGAUGUGACAUGGAUGAUGGUCAGAAAGCAUUAACACUUUAUACUCUCCAGGGUAAGGGCUGAGUGGCAUCUUGUUUGCCUGUGUCGUCCUCAAGGCUGGCAUCGGCUGCUGACUGGUCACUGAAAUUAUAAUAGAGGAUGUGUGGAUGGACAGCAAGCCCAAGUAGGAAGCAGCGCUAUGAGACACACAGGCAGCGGGCCAUGCACUGGAAUUGCUCUAUAGUUAAUAUUUGCAAUUUCUGAGAUUUAAGCAUUUUGCCAUCAUGAAGUUGUUAACAGCAGUUUACAGUAAUUAUAGUCUUCCAAUUAAAAUCAUUAGGAAAAGCAUUCCUUCUUUCCUAGUGCAACAAGUCCCUGAUUAGCAUGGGAGAUGUAUUCUUGAAAAGCGCUGUGUGAAGUGAAAUUGCUUUAAAGUUGUGUCGGAAGAAAAUUGGCUGUAACUUCAAGAACCAUGUUAAACUGAAUAUGUUGGUAUAACUGGUGUUAGCCGAGGACUGGGUGUGCUGGAACUGCUGAAUGAACAGCCUAAAAUAUUGGCAAGGGAGUGUUUAUCUGAUUAUUCUGAUUGUCUUAAUUUCUUUAGUAACGCUAGAAGCAGGACUUCUAAGAUAUAAGACUCUCCAGGGUAAGGGCUGAGUGGCAUCUUGUUUGCCUGUGUCGUCCUCAUGGCUGGCAUCGGCUGCUGACUGGUCACUGAAAUUAUAAUAGAGGAUGUGUGGAUGGACAGCAAGCCCAAGUAGGAAGCAGCGCUAUGAGACACACAGGCAGAGGGCCAUGCACUGGAAUUGCUCUAUAGUUAAUAUUUGCAAUUUCUGAGAUUUAAGCAUUUUGCCAUCAUGAAGUUGUUAACAGCAGUUUACAGUAAUUAUAGUCUUCCAAUUAAAAUCAUUAGGAAAAGCAUUCCUUCUUCCCUAGUGCAACAAGUCCCUGAUUAGCAUGGGAGAUGUAUUCUUGAAAAGCGCUGUGUGAAGUGAAAUUGCUUUAAAGUUGUGUCGGAAGAAAAUUGGCUGUAACUUCAAGAACCAUGUUAAACUGAAUAUGUUGGUAUAACUGGUGUUAGCCGAGGACUGGGUGUGCUGGAACUGCUGAAUGAACAGCCUAAAAUAUUGGCAAGGGAGUGUUUAUCUGAUUAUUCUGAUUGUCUUAAUUUCUUUAGUAACGCUAGAAGCAGGACUUCUAAGAUAUAAGGUAAUUACAUUCUCAAAAAUAAGUACUGUACAAUUAUACAUGUAUAUAACAUACACUGAGGGUGUCUGAGAACAGGGAGCACAGGGGAAUGUUUCAGCUGAAGAGGGAAGAAGUGACAGGAGGCUGGAGAAACUGCAUAAUGAGGAGCUUCAUAACUUGUACUCCUCAUCAAAUUAGUGUUACCAAAUGAAGGAUUAUGAGAUGGAGAAGGCAUGCAGCAUACAUAAGGAAGAAUGCAAAAAUUAUCUUAUAUAUUAAAUAUUAAUAACCUUAAAGCUGUAUAUUAUGCGUAUUAUCCUUCAGUGGUGAAAUAUGGAAUAAUAUACUGGGGAAAUACAACAGACAGUCAUAAGGGCUUUGUUAUACAAAAGAAAAUAAUAAGAAUAAUGAUGGGAGUGGGCCCAACUCAUACAUGUAGAGAUUUAUUUAAAAAGCUUGACAUACUGCCAAUGCCAUGUGUAUAUCUGCUCUCAGUGAUGAUAUAUGCUGUUAAUUUGGACAGGUUUCAAACCACUAACUCUGUAUAUGUGAUUGGGACCAGAAGGAAUGACCACCUUCAACACAUUUAUCAUCCAAUCAGAGAGGAGUGUAUUAUUCAGGCGUCAAGCUAUUUAAGACACUGCUGUCAAAUAUCACAGUUUUAAAAAAUGAUCAAAAUCAAUUUUGGUUUGUUUUACGAAAUUAUUUGCAAUGUGACUCAUUUUACUCUAUUGACGACUUUGUCGAGCAUGCAAGGGGCUAAAAAGUUAGGAGUUAAUAAAUGGUCUGUGUGUUUGUAUUACACACUGUUGAGACUUGCUUGUUGUAAGUGUGGCAGUAUGUAUGAUGUGUUUUUGUUAUGAAUUUUAAUACGUUACAGUGAAACUGUAUUGAUGAUAUGGCUGGCCAAUGUGUGCAGUUGCACAGCAUAGAGUUUUUAUGGUUGGAAAUGAGGGAUUUUGUUCAGGGUUGAAUGUGACAGUGGUUUUUCCACGGACUGUGUGUUUUGUCUUGACAACUUCUGCUGUGUGCAUAAGGCCUGAUUAUAUAUUUUAUUGGGCCAAGGACGUAUGAUGUGUAGCCAUCAUGAAUUUCUAAUGUGUGACAUGUUUUAUAUCCAGCCCUAUGGGGAGGUAAGUGGAUCCAUUUAGUGAAAAUAAAUGCAGAUGUAAAUGAA
Molecule: RNA transcript, 5130 nt
Organism: Cryptotermes secundus
Lineage: Eukaryota; Metazoa; Arthropoda; Insecta; Blattodea; Kalotermitidae
Gene: abs
Gene name: ATP-dependent RNA helicase abstrakt
Exons: 16
Source: RefSeq, a predicted model, not a curated record